RNAcentral lists this ribosomal RNA (328 nucleotides) under uncultured Ferruginibacter sp. RNAcentral's name for it is "bacterial SSU rRNA". It matches the Rfam family "Bacterial small subunit ribosomal RNA", at positions 568 to 898 of the family's 1533-position model. Lineage: Bacteria; Pseudomonadati; Bacteroidota; Chitinophagia; Chitinophagales; Chitinophagaceae. The record is from RNAcentral.
UGCGUAGGUGGGCAGUUAAGUCAGUGGUGAAAUCUCCGAGCUUAACUCGGAAACUGCCAUUGAUACUAUCUGUCUUGAAUUAUCUGGAGGUGAGCGGAAUAUGUCAUGUAGCGGUGAAAUGCUUAGAUAUGACAUAGAACACCAAUUGCGAAGGCAGCUCACUACGGGUAUAUUGACACUGAGGCACGAAAGCGUGGGGAUCAAACAGGAUUAGAUACCCUGGUAGUCCACGCCCUAAACGAUGGAUACUCGACAUCAGCGAUACACUGUUGGUGUCUGAGCGAAAGCAUUAAGUAUCCCACCUGGGAAGUACGAUCGCAAGAUUGAA